RNAcentral lists this ribosomal RNA (254 nucleotides) under uncultured bacterium. RNAcentral's name for it is "partial 16S ribosomal RNA". It matches the Rfam family "Bacterial small subunit ribosomal RNA", at positions 524 to 776 of the family's 1533-position model. The record is from RNAcentral.
UACGUAGGGGGCGAGCGUUGUCCGGAUUUAUUGGGCGUAAAGAGCUCGUAGGCGGUUUGGUAAGUCGGGUGUGAAAUCUCCACGCUCAACGUGGAGGGGCCACUCGAUACUGCCAUGACUCGAGUCCGGUAGAGGAGUGUGGAAUUCCCGGUGUAGCGGUGAAAUGCGCAGAUAUCGGGAGGAACACCCGUAGCGAAGGCGGCACUCUGGGCCGGAACUGACGCUGAGUCACGAAAGCGUGGGGAGCGAACAGG